RNAcentral lists this long non-coding RNA (496 nucleotides) under Vitis vinifera (wine grape). Its description in RNAcentral is "long non-coding RNA (VVIN_LNC003710)". The record is from RNAcentral. Lineage: Eukaryota; Viridiplantae; Streptophyta; Magnoliopsida; Vitales; Vitaceae.
UGGUCAUGGAGGAGGUGGAGGCAGCGGUCAUGGAGGUGGUGGAGGUGGAGGUGCUCAUGGUGGUGGUGGAGGCGGUCAUGGAGGUGGUGGAGGUGGAGGUGCUCAUGGUGGUGGUGGAGGCGGUCAUGGAGGUGGUGGAGGUGGAGGAGGUCAUGGAGGCGGUGGGGGAGGAGGUGGUCAUGGAGGAGGUGGAGGUGGUGGUCAUGGAGGAGGACAUGGAGGAGGUGGCGGAGGAGGAGGCUACGGAGGAGGAAGUGAUGGCCAAGGAAGCAACUACAGUGUAAAUGGAAGGAAGAUGCUGCAUUAAUGCAGACACAUCUCAACCACUUCGACCCUACGUGUUUAAGUGCAGCCAUGCACUCUACUCCCUCUAUAUGUAAUGUACUAGGAUGUAACGUAAUAAAAAUAUGAAUAAUAUGCAUGUGGGUUCUCUCUUUUCUUUCCAUCCGAUCGUGCCCCAAUUUCCUACUUUUAUCUCUCCUCAAUUAACUACUAC